GACUGGAUAGCCUAGUGGUAAAGGCGUCACAUUGACAUUGUGAGAACACAUCCCUAGUCACUACACCCAGGUUCAAAUCCUGGUCUAGUCA
RNAcentral lists this transfer RNA (91 nucleotides) under Cronartium ribicola 11-2. RNAcentral's name for it is "tRNA-Val (GAC) (tRNA-Val-GAC-9-1)". It matches the Rfam family "tRNA". From Rfam's summary of the family: Transfer RNA (tRNA) molecules are approximately 80 nucleotides in length. The record is from RNAcentral. Lineage: Eukaryota; Fungi; Basidiomycota; Pucciniomycetes; Pucciniales; Coleosporiaceae.